Molecule: ribosomal RNA, 212 nt
Filed under: Prorocentrum minimum
Lineage: Eukaryota; Dinophyceae; Prorocentrales; Prorocentraceae
Description: partial Bacterial small subunit ribosomal RNA
Rfam family: Bacterial small subunit ribosomal RNA
Source: RNAcentral
AUCCUGAUUACGUAUUGGUUUGUGUAAGUAAGCCAUGAAGAAGGAAAUACGAGGAAUCUCUGGGUAGUUUGAUAGUGGUGGUCAGUAGAUGGGUUUUGUACAUGUCGCCCGUCAAGCAAAGUAAGGAGAGAGGGUGUUAAUUAGGAAGAGACUUCUACAAAUAUAUGAAUCCGAAUGGUGUUAAGUCGUAACAAGGUAUAGCCACUGGAAGG